This 253-nucleotide ribosomal RNA is filed under the name uncultured bacterium. Its description in RNAcentral is "partial 16S ribosomal RNA". It matches the Rfam family "Bacterial small subunit ribosomal RNA", at positions 524 to 776 of the family's 1533-position model. The record is from RNAcentral.
UACGAAAGGUGCAAGCGUUACUCGGAAUCACUGGGCGUAAAGCGCACGUAGGCGGACUGGUAGGUCGAUUGUGAAAUACCUGGGCUCAACCCGGGAACUGCAGUUGAAACCGUCAGUCUUGAAUACCUGAGAGGGUGGGAGAAUACCUGGUGGAGAAGUGAAAUUCGUAGAGAUCAGGUGGAAUACCGGAGGCGAAGGCGCCUGCCUGGCAGUGUAUUGACGCUGAGGUGCGAAAGUGCGGGGAGCAAACAGG